AGCGAACGCUGGCGGCAGGCUUAACACAUGCAAGUCGAGCGGGCACUUUCGGGUGUCAGCGGCGGACGGGUGAGUAACGCGUGGGAACGUGCCCUCUGGUUCGGAAUAACUCAGGGAAACUUGAUCUAAUACCGGAUACGCCCUUUUGGGGAAAGGCUUGCUGCCGGAGGAUCGGCCCGCGUCUGAUUAGCUAGUUGGUGAGGUAACGGCUCACCAAGGCGACGAUCAGUAGCUGGUCUGAGCGGAUGAUCAGCCACACUGGGACUGAGACACGGCCCAGACUCCUACGGGAGGGAGCAGUGGGGAAUAUUGGGCGAUGGGCGCAAGCCUGAUCCAGCCAUGCCGCGUGAGUGAUGAAGGCGUUAGGGUUGUAAAGCUCUUUUAUACGGGACGAUAAUGACGGUACCGGAGGAAUAAGCCCCGGCUAACUUCGUG
Molecule: ribosomal RNA, 435 nt
Filed under: uncultured bacterium
Lineage: Bacteria
Description: partial 16S ribosomal RNA
Rfam family: Bacterial small subunit ribosomal RNA
Source: RNAcentral